This 62-nucleotide transfer RNA is filed under the name Phascolosoma scolops. RNAcentral describes it as "tRNA-Thr". The record is from RNAcentral. Lineage: Eukaryota; Metazoa; Annelida; Sipuncula; Phascolosomatiformes; Phascolosomatidae.
GCCGUAGUAGUAUAAUUUAUUAUACUGGUCUUGUAAGCCAGAGAUUGCCCCGCACUACAGCU